This 494-nucleotide ribosomal RNA is filed under the name Serratia proteamaculans. RNAcentral describes it as "bacterial SSU rRNA". It matches the Rfam family "Bacterial small subunit ribosomal RNA", at positions 8 to 494 of the family's 1533-position model. The record is from RNAcentral. Lineage: Bacteria; Pseudomonadati; Pseudomonadota; Gammaproteobacteria; Enterobacterales; Yersiniaceae.
AGAGUUUGAUCCUGGCUCAGAUUGAACGCUGGCGGCAGGCCUAACACAUGCAAGUCGAGCGGUAGCACAGGAGAGCUUGCUCUCCGGGUGACGAGCGGCGGACGGGUGAGUAAUGUCUGGGAAACUGCCUGAUGGAGGGGGAUAACUACUGGAAACGGUAGCUAAUACCGCAUAAGUCUACGGACCAAAGUGGGGGACCUUCGGGCCUCACGCCAUCAGAUGUGCCCAGAUGGGAUUAGCUAGUAGGUGGGGUAAUGGCUCACCUAGGCGACGAUCCCUAGCUGGUCUGAGAGGAUGACCAGCCACACUGGAACUGAGACACGGUCCAGACUCCUACGGGAGGCAGCAGUGGGGAAUAUUGCACAAUGGGCGCAAGCCUGAUGCAGCCAUGCCGCGUGUGUGAAGAAGGCCUUAGGGUUGUAAAGCACUUUCAGCGAGGAGGAAGGGUUCAGUGUUAAUAGCACUGUGCAUUGACGUACUCGCAGAAGAGCACC